GGGGCCUAGUGGGAAGAGAUUGAAUCACGGGGGCUGACUUUCCUCUUACUGUUGUCAUAAUAGAAUUCUUAUAAGAUCUGGUUGUUUGAAAGCAUGUAGCACCUCCACCUUCUUUCUCUCUCUCUCUCUCUCUGCCUCUCUCUCUCUCUCUUUCUCUCUCUCUCUACCUCCCCCUCUCCUGCCAGCCAAGUGAAGACAUGCUUGCUUCCCCUUCACCUUCCUCCAUGAUGGUACCCCCAGAAUCCAGAUUGCAGCUACAGGCCCUCCUGAUGAAAUCAAAAACUCCACAGCUUGAAGUAGAGAUGAUUCCACCGGAAGUCCUUAAUAAGGCCCUGGAGAAAUGCAGAGAUGCAGGUUUAAUGAAGUCCAUCAGGGUGUCCAGUUUCAAUCACUAACUGUUGGAACUGAUCCUCAGACAAGCCAGGACUCAAGUACAAGCCCACCUACAACCAGAUGAGCCCUUAGGGCCACUGGGGCCAUUUCUGACUUUGUGCUCUUCACACGCUUCCUUACAUUAGAAUAAUGUAAUUGUUCAGUAUGUUGUGCUUUAAUUUUUUAAGAGAAUGUCAAAGGCUAGCCAUGACACUGUUAUGUGUAUUUCUUUUAAUUUAACUUUUCCAUAAAUAUUAAAUAAUGUAAUUGUUCAGAAUUAGUAUCAGAAUUGUUUCAUAAAUAUUAAAUAAGGUAAUUGUUCAGAAUUAGAAUUAAAUAAUGUAAUUUAGGUCUCCAAAACUGUUUUUAUUUUCAAUAUUUUUAACUUUUAUUUUAAGUUGAGGGGUGCACGUGCAGGUUUUUUAUAAAGGUAAACUCAUGCCGUGGGGGUUUGUUCUACAGAUUAUUUUGUUACCCAGAUAUUAAGCUUAGUACUCAUUAGUUAUUUUCAACAUCCUCUCCCUUGUCCCAAUUUUGAUAAAUUGGUAAAGGCAACAGCCUGAAUAGAGGUGCAUUCAAAAAAGCGUAGGAAGAGAAGAAUUAGAUACAGAAGUGUAGAAAGUAUUCAAAGAAUGGGUUAUAAAUACACCUGACAAUUGAGAUGACAAUUUUCUUUGAGAUGGCAGAAAAAACAGCAUGCCUAUAUGCUCUUAGGAAGGAUCUAGUAGAAAGAGAAAAACUGAUGAUGCAGGAGAGAGAGGAUCAGAAUUGCUGAAUCAUGUUUGCAUUCAUUUCCUAUUUCUGCUGUAAAAAAAAAAUCACAAAUGUUGUGGCCUGAAACACCAUAAUUAAUUUUCUCACAGUUCAUCAGUUAUGAAACAUCAUAAUUUUCUCAAAUUCCAAUGAAUUUGGAAUCAGAAUUCCAAAAUCUGGUUCAACAGGCUAAAGUCAGGGUGUCCACAAGGUUGUAUUUCUUCUUGAGGGUCUAGGGGAAAAUGCUAUUCCGGGCCAUUCCAGGUUCCAGAGAAUGUGUUCCUUGGCUCAUGGCACUUAUUCUAUCUUGAAAGCCAACUACAUGGCAUCUUAGGAUCUCUGUGCUAUGCGUCUUUCCUUACACGUCCUCUUUGAUUGUGGCCCUCCUGGGUGCCACUUGUAAGGAUUUUGAGAUGACAUUGCCUAUCCAGAUGAUUCAGGAAACGCUUCUAUCUUAGGAUCCUUAACAUAAUCACAUCUGCAAAGUUUGUUUUGCCAGGUAAGGUAACAUAGUCACAGGUUCUAAAGAUAAAGGCAUGAGUUAUUGGCAGGGCAGGGGGAGGGAGCAUUAUUGAGCCUACUGUACUAGCUUUGUGGAGUACUUGAAGCAAGUAAGCCUUAAUUUUCUAGCCUUGCUAAUAGAAAGUACUAUAUCACCAGCCACUAGGUCCUGAAAAAUCUAGAUUUCAUCUCAGAUAUAAAGAAAUAAAAACCUGUUCCUUAGCUCUGAUAUCAUUUAUACCCUAUCAUAUGUCCCCUUCUAGUUAUAGUCCCUUUAUUCCCUUAGUUUACCAUUUCUCCCAGGAUUUGUGAAUAUCUUUUCUCACUGUACAUGCAGAGAACUCCAGCACUGCUGUUCUUUACAUUCUCAACAACUGAAAGUUUCUACUCAUACCUAGAUUAUACUUCAGGUAACUACUUCUAUGCUGUAACUUAUACAGACAAAGAAGUACUUAUAACUGCUCUAUGAACCUUUAACUUUAACACACUUCAUACUAAUGAAGCCUCUUACGCUUCGAUUUUCACUACACAUCAGUUCAUCAAGUUCUUGAUUCAUUAAGGAUUGCAGUCAUUGGGUCUCUCGUGUUUCCUCUUUCCAUUCUUUCAAUCUCCACACAAGUUUACAUAUUCAGAUUUGCUUACAUAAUAAAGUAAAUUGAAAUCCUCAGACUACACUCAUUCUCUCUAAAUUUCUCCUUUAGGUUUUCUGCUGGUUGGGGUCUCUUGUCCUUGUACCUAUUGAUCUGUGCUUAUAGCAACCAAACUGGAUCAAUCUGCUUAUAGCCAGAACAAAUUGCCCUGAUUGUAUUUUUGUAGACCAUCUAGCCAAAAGCUAAAAUCCUACACCAGAGAUUCUUAUUCAUUUGAUCUGUAGAAAAGUUUAGGUAUCACUAUGUUUCCUUUAUUUUGUUUUUGGAUUUGUAUAAAAUUAAAGUUUACAAGUGCAAUUUGCUAUAUAGAUAUAUUGCACAGUGGUGAGGUCUGGGCUUUUAGUGUAGCUAUCACCUGAAUCAUGUCCAUUGUACUUACCCAAUAAUUUCCCAGCCUCCCAGCCUUCUGAGUCUCCACCAGUGGAAGACGGAGGAUCCAGUGGGCAGAUAUCAAGUGCCUAUAGGUGUGCCUAGGCAUGGAGUUGGGAAACAUCUGCUCUUUGAUGAAUUUUAAAGAGGUUAUUUGGGUUUUGUUGUAAUUAUUGUUGUUGGGUUGAGUUCCUUAUAAAUUCUGGAUAUCAGUCCCCUGUUA
Molecule: long non-coding RNA, 2868 nt
Organism: Gorilla gorilla gorilla (western lowland gorilla)
Lineage: Eukaryota; Metazoa; Chordata; Mammalia; Primates; Hominidae
Exons: 3
Source: RefSeq, a predicted model, not a curated record